ACAAAUAAAUCUUCUGCAGUUGUUUAGAGAAGUCACUCGGAUUACACAAACUCUACUAGAAAGGACUAACGUACAGAGUACCUGUCUUUUUACUUUUAUUAAAAAAAAAAAAAAAAAAAAACUAAAACAAUUAUUAAACUCUCUCAUGGCUAUUUCAUGAUAUUUCCAAGCUUUCCUUUUAAUUUUGUAAUUAAAAAAUAAUAAUUCAAAUAUUCUUGCUAGUAACUAGGCACAAUUUAGUAAUAGAAAGCUCAGAAACUGGUAGUUUCAUUUCAGCAAUCUUUCUAGAUAACUGGAUUCACUGUCUGCUUCACCUUUUAUGCUUGUACCUGAUGUCUGUCUUUUGACAGCUGAGUUUACAGAACCAUCCUUUUUCUGAAGUGUUUCAAGAGGAGAAUCGAAAACACCAGAAAAGGAGAAAAAUUACAAAAAAGUAGAUCAUUCUAUUUCUGUGUCUCUGUUUUGGAUCAACUUUCCCAGGAGGGCCUGGCAGGCCUGCUUCACCUUUGAUGCCUUUCUGUCCUACUGGUCCAGGAGGUCCUGGCUGACCAGGAUACAGAAAUCAGCCUUCUGCAUUCUGUUCAGGGGAGGAUUAAAUAAAGAUUACCUUUCAAGCCAGGAAGGCCAUUUCUUCCAGGAGUUCCUGGAGGCCCUGGAGGACCAGGGGCUCCCAUGA
RNAcentral lists this long non-coding RNA (676 nucleotides) under Apteryx rowi (Okarito brown kiwi). Its description in RNAcentral is "lncRNA (ENSARWG00000007016.1)". The record is from RNAcentral. Lineage: Eukaryota; Metazoa; Chordata; Aves; Apterygiformes; Apterygidae.